CCUACGGGAGGCAGCAGUGAGGAAUAUUGGUCAAUGGGCGUAAGCCUGAACCAGCCAAGUCGCGUGAAGGAUGAAGGUUCUAUGGAUCGUAAACCUCUUUUAUAAGGGAAUAAAGUGCGGGACGUGUCGCGUGUUGUAUGUACCUUAUGAAUAAGGAUCGGCUAAAUCCGUGCCAGCAGCCGCGGUAAUACGGAGGCUCCGGGCGUUAUCCGGAUUUAUUGGGUUUAAAGGGUGCGUAGGUGGCCUUUUAAGUCAGAGGUGAAAGUCUGAGGCUCAACCGUAGAAUUGCCGUUGAAACUGGUAGGCUUGAGUACGGUAGAGGCAGGCGGAAUUCGUGGUGUAGCGGUGAAAUGCUUAGAUAUCACGCAGAACCCCGAUUGCGAAGGCAGCCUACCGAGC
RNAcentral lists this ribosomal RNA (399 nucleotides) under uncultured bacterium. RNAcentral describes it as "partial 16S ribosomal RNA". It matches the Rfam family "Bacterial small subunit ribosomal RNA", at positions 338 to 734 of the family's 1533-position model. The record is from RNAcentral.